This 725-nucleotide long non-coding RNA is filed under the name Triticum aestivum (bread wheat). RNAcentral's name for it is "long non-coding RNA (TAES_LNC020605)". The record is from RNAcentral. Lineage: Eukaryota; Viridiplantae; Streptophyta; Magnoliopsida; Poales; Poaceae.
UGUCACAGUCCUCGGAGGUGCGUGAAUUGGGGUGGCUGGCUUACUGGUUAUCCAUUCGCUUCAAGAUUUUCUAUCAUGUUUCCAUAUUUUUCAUUUAUGCUAUUCUGACAAUGAUGAAACCUGCUAGAUUUGUUAGCUUUACACUUCUCUAAAAUUUUCGGAGUUACCCUUUCCCUGAUGACAGAUUUUUCCAGUUUGUUUUAAAUGACCAUGAAAUGUCAAUCUCUAUAUCUUUUAAACAUGUGUUAUCUGAAUAAAUGUUUGAGCACUGCGUGUGCACUAUGUUCUCUGAAUAAAUGAAAUGUGCACCCUGCUCUUUGAUUGUGUGGCUAUUUAGUCAUUAUCGUGGUUUUAGAUAUAUUGACUCGUCUUGUACCCUAAUACAAUGUUACCCUCCCCCUGAAUGUGGCACUUUGUUGCCCAGCUUGUGCUAACUGAAUGAUAGUUAUGUAUCAAAAUGAGAUGAAUAAGAAUCCUUUUGUUUUUUCCCUAAGAUAUUGGUUCUGAUUUCUAAAAAAACUGAAGUUACUAAGUUGUGUUCAGGGUUCUGGCCACACUGGUCCCUGCCUGUGCACCCACUGGGCGCGGCCUAGUCGCCAUCGUCCAAGCCCACCAUCCCAUACCGCAUCAUGUCAAUAGGCAGGCUACAGAGGCAACAUAAUCGUCCUCCUGCAAUGGCUUAGAUACAAAAGCUCUAGAAUCAAUUUAACAGUCACAAAUAUGUG